RNAcentral lists this ribosomal RNA (935 nucleotides) under uncultured bacterium. RNAcentral's name for it is "bacterial SSU rRNA". It matches the Rfam family "Bacterial small subunit ribosomal RNA", at positions 370 to 1295 of the family's 1533-position model. The record is from RNAcentral.
GUUANGGCGAANCCCUGAUCCAGCCAUGCCGCGUGAGUGAAGAAGGCCUUCGGGUUGUAAAGCUCUUUCAGCCGGAAAGAAAUCGCGCAGGAUAAUACUCUGCGUGGAUGACGGUACCGGAAGAAGAAGCACCGGCUAACUACGUGCCAGCAGCCGCGGUAAUACGUAGGGUGCGAGCGUUAAUCGGAAUUACUGGGCGUAAAGCGUGCGCAGGCGGUUAUGUAAGACAGAUGUGAAAUCCCCGGGCUCAACCUGGGAACUGCGUUUGUGACUGCAUAACUAGAGUACGGCAGAGGGAGGUGGAAUUCCGCGUGUAGCAGUGAAAUGCGUAGAUAUGCGGAGGAACACCGAUGGCGAAGGCAGCCUCCUGGGCCAGUACUGACGCUCAUGCACGAAAGCGUGGGGAGCAAACAGGAUUAGAUACCCUGGUAGUCCACGCCCUAAACGAUGUCAACUAGUUGUUCGGUGAGGAGACUCAUUGAGUAACGCAGCUAACGCGUGAAGUUGACCGCCUGGGGAGUACGGCCGCAAGGUUAAAACUCAAAGGAAUUGACGGGGACCCGCACAAGCGGUGGAUGAUGUGGAUUAAUUCGAUGCAACGCGAAAAACCUUACCUACCCUUGACAUGCCAGGAACUUGCCAGAGAUGGCUUGGUGCUCGAAAGAGAGCCUGGACACAGGUGCUGCAUGGCUGUCGUCAGCUCGUGUCGUGAGAUAUUGGGUUAAGUCCCGCAACGAGCGCAACCCUUGUCGUUAAUUGCCAUCAUUAAGUUGGGCACUUUAGCGAGACUGCCGGUGACAAACCGGAGGAAGGUGGGGAUGACGUCAAGUCCUCAUGGCCCUUAUGGGUAGGGCUUCACACGUCAUACAAUGGUCGGUACAGANGGUUGCCAAGCCGCGAGGUGGAGCCNAUCCCAGAAAGCCGAUCGUAGUCNG